Molecule: long non-coding RNA, 3286 nt
Organism: Helianthus annuus (common sunflower)
Lineage: Eukaryota; Viridiplantae; Streptophyta; Magnoliopsida; Asterales; Asteraceae
Exons: 10
Source: RefSeq, a predicted model, not a curated record
CCAUAUUCAAAAUCUUGGCUCCAGAUUCAAAAUUCAAACCGUAUACAUAUAUAACCUACAUUAUUCUGGCUCCCCUUUCAAAAUUCAAUCCCUCUCUCAAAUCCAGAGCACCUCCACAUCCAAUCUUCAAAUCCAGAGCACCUCCAAAUCCAAUCUUCAAACCGUAUCUAUUUUAUUUAGAAUACUCUGCUCCAUUCAAAGGUUAGGUGAUCUAGAUUUUUGUUUGGUUCUUCUUCAUUCAAUGUAAUCUUCUCUAAACCUCAUCGAUCAAGAAAAUCCACAAACCCUAAUUUCUGUCGCCGCAGAUCCAUGAAGUAGCAAUUAGGGCAAACUUCAAGAGAGAUCGAGCAUGUAAAGUGUGCCAGACGCCACCAUAUUCUCCUUCCACUAAGGUUAUAUUCCUCUUUGCCUUUCUCUGAAAUCUGAACACCGCCCACUGCCUUUCCCUUCUCUGAACUACAUCGAUUUUGGCGGUGUGUUAUUAUUUUGUGAUUAGGUUAUAUGGCGGUGUGUAACCAUCUUUGUCUUCGUUCCAAAGAUAAUCAGAUCAUAAAGAUGGUUACACACCGCCAUAUGUGAGGGUCCGAUGUCAACAGAGCGACUAAGAUGAAGCUGAAUUGGAGAUUAUGUUAUGUGGAAGCAUGGAGUUCAACUCUCCACGUUCUCUCACUAGUUUAUGGAUAUUGUUGGUGCUUCUUCCCUGUCAAUAAUUUCAUCUUUAUUAACUAUUGCAAAUCAUAAAGAUGGUUACACACCGCCAUAUGUGAGGGUCCAAUGUCAACAGAGCGACUAAGGUACUGUGGGAGAGAAAGGUCUAUGAUGCUGUUGAACUGUAUUUUCCGCGUAGGAGGAUGUUCGAUGCUUUUAACUAACGAUAGGGCUCGUAAGAAUCAAGCAAUUUUGAAGCUGAAUUGUUUGGUUCGAACCCAAUUCGAUGCGAAUGAUGUUGUACAACUGUUGUAUGCAAGUCAAAGAUGACAAUGGAUAUGCUGGUUUUCGUCUAACCAAACUGCUCACGAAAGCAGAAGCAGAAGCAGAAGCCGAAGCCGGAGCCGGAGUAGAAGCAGAAGCUUGCGACGCAGCAGGAGCAAAUCCUUGGAACGUUCUGUGUCGAAAUCGCCAGCUAAAUCUAAGUCACCAUCUUCUGUGAAGCCGGAAAGGUGUUGUAGCAUAUGUGUAACUAUAUGCAAACUUCUGAUUCAAAUACCUAUGUUCCAACUUCAUAUAGGAAAUAUAGACACCGCCAAUCUUGUAAAGGAAAGAAGUCAGCAGCGGUUUCCAGUCCCUGGAGAGCCCGUAUGUUUUGUCUGUGGCAAAUACGGGGAAUAUAUAUGUGAUGAGACCGAUGAUGAUAUCAAAGGUGGGAUUUCAGUACUAUGAACGACAAAGUGCUUGAAGAUUUCUACCAACACUGUUUUAACCCAAAAUAGUGGAUUGGUAUAAUUUUUCUUUUGUUUAAUAGGGUAGCAUCUCAAAGGAAACCACUGUUUUACCCCAAAAGUGGUUUCAAAACACUGUUGGGUUAAAACAGUGCGUUAAACCACUGUUGGGUUAAAACAGUGCGUUAAACUACUGUUGGGUUAAAAUAGUGGUUGAAACCACUGUUGGGUUAAAAUAGUGGGUUAAACCACUGUUGGGUUAAAACAGUGAGUUAAACCACUAUUGGGUUAAAACAGUGAGUUAAACCACUGUUGGGUUAAAACAGUGGUUUCAACCACUGUUGGGUUAAAAUAGUGAGUUUAACCACUGUUGGGUUAAAACAAUGAGUUUAACCACUGUUGAGUUACAACAGUGGUUGAAACUACUGUUGGGUUCGAAGAGUUAUCCGCAGGUAAUGGGACUGUUAAAAGUAUUCCUCAAAAGAAUACAUAAUCAAAAGGCUAAAUCUAACUCAGGCGGAAAGCUUCCAAAAAGUGUUUUGCUUGUAGGUCCACCUGGGACAGGGAAGACAAUGUUAGGCAGGAGAAGCAGGUGUGCCAUUUUCUCUUGUAGUGGUAGUGAGUUUGAAGAAAUGUUUAUUGGUGUUAGGACUUGCAAGGUUAGAGAUCUUUAAAUCAGUUGGAGGAAGCCGUAACCCGAAGGACCAACAAUACAUGAAGAUGCGUUUAAAUCAGUUGCUUUAGGCAUUAGAGGGUUUUAAACAAAAUGAAGGCAUUAUUGUUAUUGCUGCAACCAAGUUUCCGAAGUCAAUGGAUACGACACUAAUUAGACCUGGUCGGUUUGACCAUCGUGUGUUGUUCCCAAAUCCAGAUGUUAAAGGCAUGAGGCAAAUCAUGUUAAAGAUCUUACAGGCUGAUCGAGGCCUCUGUUGGAGAUUAGCAAUUGUUGCACUUCCAGCUAUGUUUUUGCUGAUUAUUCCAGGGGUAAUAUAUGGAAAUAUUUUAGCGAAAAAAGAAGAGAAAAUACAAGAAGCUUAUACAGUUUCCGGUGGGAUAGCAGAACAGGCGUUUUCUUUGAUUAAAACAGUUCAUUACUACGUUGGAGAGAAAAAAAUGGUGAGUCGGUUUUCAGAUGCGUUAAUACCAACUUUAGCUCUAGGUAUUAAACAAGGUUUGUUAAAAGGAAUGGUUCUUGGUAGCAUCGGAAUUUUGUUUUCUAUUUUCGCUUUUAUGAGCUGGUAUGGGAGCAUCUUGGUCAUCAAAAAAGGAAUCAAAGGGAGUAGUUUAUACCCAGACUAUUAUGACACUAAUACCGUGAAGGUAAACUACUGCACUUUAGUUUAUGCUGCCUUUAUGUUACUGGUUAUAUGGGUUUGAGUUUGGAUAAGUUGACCUGCUGACUUGUGGAUAUGGUUUUAGAGUUAUGUAGUUUGUAGAGUUUAUGCAUUUAUUUUAGUUUAAUGGGAAUUGCCAUAAGAGAUUACAUGAAAAUUUUUCACCUUUUUCGAGGUUAGCAGAGUCAGCCAUCAUACGUCCGUAGGAGUCGUCGUAAGUUAGGAUCAAACUCCCCAUUUUAGUUUGUAGUUUCACUAGAAUUUUGAUUUGAAGAUUUCUAAUCUCUUUUGGAACUUGAGUGCUCACUUUUGAAGAUUUCUAAUCUCUUUUGGAACAUGGGUUUCCCUAAACUGUUUCCUUCAUUAUUACAGGUGAAUGACGCGCAACUUAGCACCAUAAAGACCCUUUGAUAGUGAGUUUGCUUCUUCUAGCAUAGCUAUAUGAUUUUGAUUCUAUGUUAAUUUCAUUUCAUUAUGAGUAGCGUCUUAAACCGAAAUAUAUAUGUACAUUUGAGGCUUAAAACAUGAGUGUUUGAUACAGUCUCUUAUAUUGUUAUGUUAGUGUCUUUCUAA